CAGGACGAACGCUGGCAGCGCGCCUAACACAUGCAAGUCGAACGGAGAUAUUGAACUGAAGUUUCGGACGGAAGCUUGAUAUCUUAGUGGCGAACGGGUGAGUAACACGUGAGGAACCUGCCUUUCAGAGGGGGAUAACACUUAGAAAUAGGUGCUAAUACCGCAUAAGACCACGGCGUCGCAUGGCGCAGCGGUCAAAGGAGCAAUCCGCUGAAAGAUGGACUCGCGUCUGAUUAGAUAGUUGGUGAGGUAACGGCCCACCAAGUCGACGAUCAGUAGCCGGACUGAGAGGUUGAACGGCCACAUUGGGACUGAGACACGGCCCAGACUCCUACGGGAGGCAGCAGUGGGGAAUAUUGCACAAUGGAGGAAACUCUGAUGCAGCGACGCCGCGUGAGGGAAGAAGGUUUUCGGAUUGUAAACCUCUGUCUUCGGGGACGAUAAUGACGGUACCCGAGGAGGAAGCCACGGCUAACUACGUGCCAGCAGCCGC
This 493-nucleotide ribosomal RNA is filed under the name uncultured bacterium. RNAcentral's name for it is "bacterial SSU rRNA". It matches the Rfam family "Bacterial small subunit ribosomal RNA", at positions 25 to 518 of the family's 1533-position model. The record is from RNAcentral.